Molecule: long non-coding RNA, 1617 nt
Organism: Gallus gallus (chicken)
Lineage: Eukaryota; Metazoa; Chordata; Aves; Galliformes; Phasianidae
Exons: 3
Source: RefSeq, a predicted model, not a curated record
GGGAACACUCUUUUCUAACCACGAUCUGAUGAGGUCCGGAGAGCGGAGAGCAAACUGAAGGUGUUCAGACCCAUCUGAGCCCUUCUUUCCCACUGUCAGCCUGCAGUGAGUGCUGACUGUGCUGGGAUGCUGUGACUUCUCCAGCAUUAAACGAACUUCUGGAAAACAGGGUCCCCUUUAUCAUCCCCAUGUGGUCUCUGUGUCCCACAGUUUCCACUUUCAGCAGGGAACGUCUCUGCUCCUGCUGAUGUUCUGCAGAAAUGCUCAUUUCCACGAUGGAGGGAGAAGAGAUGGAGACCCUGGCCAACAGAGAGGAGGAGAGGAGUGAAAGAGCGCUGACACAACACGUGGUUGCCUGUCCUGAGCGGCUUCUCCUCUGUCCCCAACUGAUGUCACCCUGGACCCGAACACCGCCAACCCUUUCCUCCUCCUGGCUGACGAUGGGAGAUGUGAGACGUGGGGAUGCGUUCGGCACGGAGCUGAGGUCGGUGAUGGAUGGGGAGCUGGAAGGUCUUGGAGACAGAUGCCACACAGGAGCUUCUCCAUCCCCCCCCCCGCCCCACAGCAUGGGGGGCACUGAGGAGAUCACUGCAAGGGUACCCCGGGACUGAGUGGUGGCACCAAGCACUGGGGCUGCACAUCGGCUCUGUGCAUGGCCAGGAGAAAUACAGCAGAUCCAAAGGUCUCGAAAGAAGCUCAGUACGAUGUCUGGCUUUUUCCAGAUAAGCUCAACGAUGAACUGAAAAAUAUAAAAGCACAGCUCACGAUAACACAUCUUCUCCAUACAUCUGAACCCUCUCUCUGCCUUAUUCCCAGCUCUCACUGGCAUGUGCUUUGGGCGUGUGUGUCUUCCUCCACACUUCUUGCAGCAGAGCACUGGGAAAAGCUGUAGGGACAGGCAGGGAAAGUGAGGCAGAAACCGAGGUGCCCAAAGUCCAUAGGCCGGAUCGCUCCCGUGGACUUGCCAUGCUUGGAUCUCCAUCCUCCCUCCAUCUUGGUCUCCUUUUCCCCCUUCAGCACAGUCUUUCCGCUGUUCAAAAACACACAGGGCACUGAAACAACCCAACUCAGCCUCUCCCAGGAAUACACCUGGAGCCAUUUGCUGGGGGAAAUUCUGCCAGUAGAAGCUGAUCCGUUCCAGUUCCAUUAGCAGAAGCAGUCAAGGCGGAGAUGCAUCAGGAAGUUAAACUUUCUCCAUGGUUUGCCAGGAAUCUGCUGUUGGCAUCCAAGAAAACCAAUUAAUAUCAGGAGAGGAUUGCUGAAGAUGCACACAUACCCUGUCCUGCUGCUGCAGCUGUUUUGUUUCAUUCCCUUCUUUGCCUGUCAGGAAAUACGGACAUGAGCAGUGCAUCGCUGAUAUGUGAGCAGUCUGCCUUUUCUGCAGGGCAGAAAUCUCUGCAAUCCCAAAGCAGCAUCACUAUAAAAGGGAGAAAGAAGCACAUACCCAUCCAGAACGUCACCGGCAUCCCAGAGAGGAGAUAAACACAGGUCUGUUUUUGUGAGACCUUGGGUAACAAAGCUCUCGUGCACAGCAGCAAUUCUGGCACUAUAAAACGAGGGGGGAAGCUUCUCGUGUGCGUAUGUUGUUUAGAAUAAUAAACCGAGUGUUUGAAGGAG